This 618-nucleotide ribosomal RNA is filed under the name Cortinarius semisanguineus. RNAcentral describes it as "eukaryotic LSU rRNA". It matches the Rfam family "Eukaryotic large subunit ribosomal RNA", at positions 1 to 618 of the family's 3401-position model. The record is from RNAcentral. Lineage: Eukaryota; Fungi; Basidiomycota; Agaricomycetes; Agaricales; Cortinariaceae.
GUGACCUCAAAUCAGGUAGGACUACCCGCUGAACUUAAGCAUAUCAAUAAGCGGAGGAAAAGAAACUAACAAGGAUUCCCCUAGUAACUGCGAGUGAAGCGGGAAAAGCUCAAAUUUAAAAUCUGACAGUCUUUGGCUGUCCGAGUUGUAAUCUAGAGAAGUGUUAUCCGCGCUGGACCGUGUACAAGUCUCCUGGAAUGGAGCGUCAUAGAGGGUGAGAAUCCCGUCUUUGACACGGACUACCAGGGCUUUGUGAUGCGCUCUCAAAGAGUCGAGUUGUUUGGGAAUGCAGCUCAAAAUGGGUGGUAAAUUCCAUCUAAAGCUAAAUAUUGGCGAGAGACCGAUAGCGAACAAGUACCGUGAGGGAAAGAUGAAAAGAACUUUGGAAAGAGAGUUAAACAGUACGUGAAAUUGCUGAAAGGGAAACGCUUGAAGUCAGUCGCGUUGUCCAGGGAUCAACCUUGCUUUUGCUUGGUGCACUUUCUGGUUGACGGGUCAGCAUCAAUUUUGACCAUUGGAAAAAGAUUAAGGGAAUGUGGCAUCUUUGGAUGUGUUAUAGCCCUUGGUUGCAUACGAUGGUUGGGAUUGAGGAACUCAGCACGCCGCAAGGCCGGGUUU